Molecule: ribosomal RNA, 430 nt
Filed under: Uromastyx ornata ornata
Lineage: Eukaryota; Metazoa; Chordata; Lepidosauria; Squamata; Agamidae
Description: partial 12S ribosomal RNA
Rfam family: Bacterial small subunit ribosomal RNA
Source: RNAcentral
AUUUGAGGGUGACGGGCGGUGUGUUUAAACUGGGGAUUAGAUACCCCACUAUGCUUGGCCGUAAACAAAGACGAAACAAUCCGCCAGGAGACUACAAGCACAAAGCUUAAAACCCAAAGGACCUGACGGUGUCCCACACCUACCUAGAGGAGCCCGUCUCAUAAUCGAUAGCCCGCGAUGAACCUCACCACCCUUAGCCCAUCCAGUCUAUAUACCGCCGUCGCAAGCCUACCUCUCAAGAACUAGUAGCCAAACAGUACAACCGUACUAACACGACAGGUCAAGGCGUAGCUCAUAGGGUGGAGAAGAUUGGCUACAAUGCCUAUCACACUUAGGCCCCUUAAACGAAAUAUUACCAUGAUAAUUGGUAUACGUGGCUUUGUUUCCCCGUUCUUGUGUCUGUUGUGUCCCUCCCUCCCCUCCCCCCCGA